UACGUAGGCAGCGAGCGUUGUUCGGAAUUACUGGGCGUAAAGAGUGUGUAGGCCGGUGCUCUAAGUUCGGUGUGAAAUCUCCUGGCUCAACUGGGAGGGUGCGCCGGAAACUGGAGUGCUUGAGCGUGGGAGAGGAAAGCGGAAUUCCUGGUGUAGCGGUGAAAUGCGUAGAUAUCAGGAGGAACACCUGUGGUGUAGACGGCUUCUGGACCAUAGCUGACGCUGAGACACGAAAGCGUGGGUAGCAAACAGG
This 253-nucleotide ribosomal RNA is filed under the name uncultured bacterium. Its description in RNAcentral is "partial 16S ribosomal RNA". It matches the Rfam family "Bacterial small subunit ribosomal RNA", at positions 524 to 776 of the family's 1533-position model. The record is from RNAcentral.